Molecule: ribosomal RNA, 1588 nt
Filed under: Plautia stali
Lineage: Eukaryota; Metazoa; Arthropoda; Insecta; Hemiptera; Pentatomidae
Description: partial 16S ribosomal RNA
Source: RNAcentral
UUAUUGAGAAUGUAAAUUUAAUUUCUUAGUAUUAUAAGUUAUGAUCUUUAAAUUGAAAGAAUUUGACGGUAAUUUAAUCAUUUUAGAGGAACCUGUUCUAUAAUCGAUAAUCCACGAUACAUUUUACCUUUAACAUAAUAUCAUGGUUUGUAUAUCUCUGUCUGAAUUGAAUGUUUUAUUAGGAUAUUUUCAAAAAUUUUUAAUUGAAAAUUAUGUCAGGUCAAGGUGCAGCUAUAUAAAGGAUUGAAAUGGGUUACAUUUAAUAUAAAAUUAUUGGAUUAAUCCAUUAUUAAUGGAUUAUGAAAUUGGAUUUAAUUGUAAUGUUUAAUAUAUAUUAUUCAUGAUAUAUGUUCUUGAUUAAGUACACAUCGCCCGUCACUCUCAUUAAUAAGAUGAGAUAAGUCGUAACAAAGUAGUCCUAUCGGAAGAUGGGGCUAGAAUUAUACAAGCUAUAAUCUAGGAUUAUUCUUUAUUUACAUUAAGGAAUUAUUUGUGCAAUUCAAAUUAGUUUGAUUUAUUUAUAUUUAAUUGUUGAUUUUAUUUUUAAUUUGUUAAUAGAAAUAACUUUUAUUGUUUUAGUAUUUUUUAGAGAAUAAAUUAAUUAUUUAUUUAUAGUUAAUAAUUACUGUAAAGGAUAAUAUUAAAGGAUGUAUAAGUAGAAUUAAUUUUUUGUACCUUUUGUAUCAGGGUUUAUUUAUAUUUUAUAUUUAUUAAUAUUAUUCCCGAAAUUAAAAGAGCUAUUGAUUAUUUGAUUUUUAAUGUUACAAAAUUAUAUUGAAAAUAUCAAUAGAUGUGAUAUGCUGUUCAUUUUUAUAUAUCUGGUUUUUUAAUAAUUGAGUUUAAUUCAGGAUUAUCUAAUUCCAAUAGAUCAAUUUAUUUUUUUUGUAUAUUGAUAAUCUAAAUCUUAAAGGGAUAAGCUUUUAAGAUACAUCUAUAAUUAUUUUAAUAAUAUAAAAUUAGUAGGAUUAAAAAUUUUCAUCAUUAUAUUUUGUUAUAAUUAAAUUUAUUAUUUAUUUUAUUUUGUUUUAGUUUAGAUCUUUAUUAAAUUUUAGUUAUGAAUAUUUUAUAAUUAGUAAUAAUGAUAAGAUUAGUAAAUUUGAAAUUUAAUAUAUAGUAAUUCGGCAAAUAUAUUCUUCACCUGUUUAACAAAAACAUGUCUUAAUGUUAAAUUAUAUUAGGUUUGGCCUGCUCAAUGAUUUUUUUAAAUAGCCGCAGUAUUUUGACUGUGCGAAGGUAGCAUAAUCACUUGUCUUUUAAUUGAAGGCUGGAAUGAAUGGUCGGAUGAGGGAAUAGCUUUCUUUAUAUUAAUGAAUUGAAUUUAAUUUUUAGGUAAAAAAGCUUAAAUUUUAAAGGGGGACGAGAAGACCCUAUAGAAUUUUAUUUUCAAUUAAUUAUAAAUUUAUUUUGUUAAUUAAAAUCUUAUUUUUAUUGGAAAUUUUGUUGGGGUGACAUUGAGAUUCUUUUAACUCUCAUAUUUUAUUAUUUAUUUAUAUGUAUAUAUAUAUAAUCCUUUAUUAUGGAAUUUAGAUUAAAUUACCUUAGGGAUAACAGCGUAAUUCUUUUGGAGAGUUCUUAUCGAUGGAAGAGU